RNAcentral lists this ribosomal RNA (679 nucleotides) under uncultured Streptococcus sp. RNAcentral's name for it is "partial 16S ribosomal RNA". Lineage: Bacteria; Bacillati; Bacillota; Bacilli; Lactobacillales; Streptococcaceae. The record is from RNAcentral.
GACCCCCAGAGCCGCUUUNGCCACCGGNGNUCCUCCAUAUAUCUACGCAUUUCACCGCUACACAUGGAAUUCCACUCUCCCCUNUUGCACUCAAGUUAAACAGUUUCCAAAGCGUACUAUGGUUAAGCCACAGCCUUUAACUUCAGACUUAUCUAACCGCCUGCGCUCGCUUUACGCCCAAUAAAUCCGGACAACGCUCGGGACCUACGUAUUACCGCGGCUGCUGGCACGUAGUUAGCCGUCCCUUUCUGGUAAGAUACCGUCACAGUGUGAACUUUCCACUCUCACACUCGUUCUUCUCUUACAACAGAGCUUUACGAUCCGAAAACCUUCUUCACUCACGCGGCGUUGCUCGGUCAGACUUCCGNCCAUUGCCGAAGAUUCCCUACUGCUGCCUCCCGUAGGAGUCUGGGCCGUGUCUCAGUCCCAGUGUGGCCGAUCACCCUCUCAGGUCGGCUAUGUAUCGUCGCCUUGGUGAGCCGUUACCNCACCAACUAGCUAAUACAACGCAGGUCCAUCUGGUAGUGAUGCAAUUGCACCUUUNAAGCAAAUGGUCAUGCNACAUCUACUGUUAUGCGGGAUUAGCUAUCGNUUCCAAUAGUUAUCCCCCGNUACCANGCAGGGUACCUACGCGUUACUCACCCGUCNCAACUNAUCCNNANAGGGAAGCNCCCCUUUU